This is a long non-coding RNA of Beta vulgaris subsp. vulgaris (sugar beet), 1738 nucleotides long. RefSeq lists it as uncharacterized. The record is from RefSeq and is a predicted model, not a curated record. Lineage: Eukaryota; Viridiplantae; Streptophyta; Magnoliopsida; Caryophyllales; Amaranthaceae. The transcript is spliced from 3 exons.
CAUUUCGACGACAUCUAUUCUCUCCAAACCAAACCCUAACCUCUCUAUUCUCUAUUCUUUCUCGCUCUUCUCUCUCACCGUCGACCACACUCAGAAAUCAGAACUUGACUGCCAUCUUCAUAACCAUCAUCUUCUUCAACCUUGUUGUCGGCUAUGGCGGCAACAUCCGAUAAAGAUAAAGAAGAUAUACUGGAAAGAAUGCUUACCAACUUAGCUUUUCCUCGCGCUAUCUUACUCGCCAAGCUUCUUCCUCGCGCUAUCGCUGCUCUCUCUUCUCAAUCUACUUCAAUUCGAUUAUUCGAAACAAGCGGCCUGAUAGCUCCAAAUUUUUUAUUCAUUCCAGAUUUGAGAACUUAUAUAUACUGCAUUGAUUGAGAGCUUUGGUCGAUCAGGUAACGUAGAGGAAGCAUUGAAACUUCUCAGUUCAAUGAAGAGCAGACAAGUCCAGCCCUCAAUCUACAUUUAUAGAUCAUUGAUUAAUAAUCUAAAGAAAAUGGGGAAGUUGAAAAUUGCAGCUUCCCUUCUGGAUGAGAUGAAUCAUUAUCUUCCAAAUCUAGUUGGUCCGAAGGAUUUCAAAAGAAAAAACAGAUGAAGAACCUACAACACUGAGCAUGGAUGCAAAGUAAUUUUAUUGUCACAAAUACAUGGUCCUGUGGUUGAUAAUAAGAAUUUUGGACAAGCAUCAAGUGCAUGUAGAGUCGGUUGAUCUUAAGAAAGGCAAGUUUUAAUAACAUUACAUGCCUUCCCAUUUUUCUUUUCUAAUUUCUGUUCCAUUUCCUAGUUUUUGAAUGCAUCUCCUUUUCUCUAGUCCUUUUUAUUGCAUGGAUCUUCUUUUGGUUGUUUGCGUGGGUUCACUGAUACUGCAGUACUGAGUUUGUAGGUACUCAGAGAAGCCGGGCAAUGGUUUAUUUAUUUUUUAAAAAUUAUUUUCUUUAGAUUCUAUACCAUUGUUCUUGGAUGAUUAGUUUUCACUCCUGUCUUAUGAUGUAAGGAUGGUUUCUAAUAUUCUAUACAUGUUGUUUUCCUGUUAUGAACCUUUCUUUUUUGCGUGACAUGUACUUUUUGUUCUACAGAUUCACAUUAACGCGAAUCCAACAAUAUCCGAUAUGACUAUAAUUGAUAUUAUCUACUCACAAGGGAAGGAUACACCAAUUGAGAUAUCUAGCGGAAUGUUUAUAACCUUGGUGUCUCAGAUGAAAGAAAUUAGUGUGCUGUUAUCUGCUCACAUGAGUAAUGUCCGACAAAAGUUCAACGAAGCAUGAGAUAUCUACUACUUCUGAAUACAUCAUCUGAAGCAGGUUCUGUUCAAACAAGGUCAAAAAAUGUGGCGACUGAAGAGGGAGCUGGAAUGAAGUAACAAGCAUUAACGUGGCGACAGAAAAAGGAUACUUUUAUAGAAGCUCCUUCACUCAUUUUUAUUCAUCCUUUCUCGAACUUAGUUUGUGACAUAACACAAUUGAAGCCCACAUGAAGUUCCAAAUGGUAAGUGACAUUCAAAGUCUGAGAAUAUUACGAGGACAUAGGCGGGUUCAAUUUCAUUUUCAUGAAAAUCAGAGAUUGGUUGGCCUGGUGGUACAGUACUUCGGCAUUGGCAGUGGCUCGGACUAGUAUUAGAUUGAAAUUGUUAUAUUAGAUUUUAGUUACUAUGUAAUUAUACUAUUAUAGUACUAAAUUUUGGUAUUCGAUUGUAAUUAUAUAUAUUUAAUUUAAAUGAAAUUCUCAUUUGUUUAUAUCUCAA